GUUUUUGGAAUGUAAGUUUCAGAGANUAAGCGAAAGUGAUAAGUUAGCCACCUGGGGAGUACGAACGCAAGUUUGAAACUCAAAGGAAUUGACGGGGGCCCGCACAAGCGGUGGAUUAUGUGGUUUAAUUCGAUGAUACGCGAGGAACCUUACCAAGGCUUAAAUGGGAAAUGACAGGUUUAGAAAUAGACUUUUCUUCGGACAUUUUUCAAGGUGCUGCAUGGUUGUCGUCAGCUCGUGCCGUGAGGUGUUAGGUUAAGUCCUGCAACGAGCGCAACCCCUGUCACUAGUUGCCAUCAUUAAGUUGGGGACUCUAGUGAGACUGCCUACGCAAGUAGAGAGGAAGGUGGGGAUGACGUCAAAUCAUCACGGCCCUUACGCCUUGGGCCACACACGUAAUACAAUGGCCGGUACAGAGGGCAGCUACACUGCGAAGUGAUGCAAAUCUCGAAAGCCGGUCUCAGUUCGGAUUGGAGUCUGCAACUCGACUCUAUGAAGCUGGAAUCGCUAGUAAUCGCGCAUCAGCCAUGGCGCGGUGAAUACGUUCCCGGGCCUUGUACACACCGCCCGUCAAGCCAUGGAAGUCUGGGGUACCUGAAGUCGGUGACCGUAACAGGAGCUGCCUAGGGUAAAACAGGUAACUAGGGCU
RNAcentral lists this ribosomal RNA (649 nucleotides) under uncultured prokaryote. Its description in RNAcentral is "bacterial SSU rRNA". It matches the Rfam family "Bacterial small subunit ribosomal RNA", at positions 819 to 1482 of the family's 1533-position model. The record is from RNAcentral.